RNAcentral lists this long non-coding RNA (684 nucleotides) under Carica papaya (papaya). Its description in RNAcentral is "long non-coding RNA (CPAP_LNC004944)". Lineage: Eukaryota; Viridiplantae; Streptophyta; Magnoliopsida; Brassicales; Caricaceae. The record is from RNAcentral.
UUUUCAGUUUAUAUGUCAUAUUUAUUUAUUACUUUUAUAUUUUAACAAAAUGGGUGGUUUAGUGCAGAUAAGGAAUUAAAUUCCCAGAUAAGACAAGGACAAGGAGAAAAGCUUUCAUAUAUGUGCUGGAUACAGAACAGACACGGCACGUGGAUAAUAACGGACAGGGCAGGGACGAGGUGGGAAAACCCACACUGUUGUCAUCUCUAAACGAAUUGCAUAAACUUGUUAUGUCAAAUUUUGAGAGCCCCAGGGUAACUUAGCUAAUUUAGUUAGUGUUCAGGAACAGGGCCGAGGUUGAGUAGUAAUCUCAAUCAAGAUAGGAUAGUAUUUGCUAGUACAUGACUAGAUGACCGUAAAGGUCAUGAGAAGACAACCAAAUGACUUUGAGGGUCACACAGCAACAACCAAGAGGACCCAGAAAUUGCAAAAAACAUGGCCUAAAGGCUGUGAAGGCCUAGCAAUCAAGCUAGAUACCUGCCAGAUCAAAAUAUGGUUAUUCAGUAACUGGUAUAUGACAUAACAAUGUUUUCCAACAUUUUUUUGCUGAGGUCGGACAGUGUUCUAGCAGUUUCCAAUGACAGUGUAGUAAAGCUUUGGAAGUUUAUUGGGGUAGUAACAAUGUUUUCCAACAUUUUUUUGCUGAGGUUGGACAGUGUUCUAGCAGUUUCCAAUGACAGUGUA